GGUUGCGAUCAUACCAGCACUAAUGCACCGGAUCCAAUCAGAACUCCGUAGUUAAGCGUGCUUGGGCGAGAGUAGUACUAGGAUGGGUGACCCCCUGGGAAGUCCUCGUGUUGCAACCC
RNAcentral lists this ribosomal RNA (119 nucleotides) under Helianthus annuus (common sunflower). Lineage: Eukaryota; Viridiplantae; Streptophyta; Magnoliopsida; Asterales; Asteraceae. The record is from RNAcentral.